Molecule: unclassified non-coding RNA, 178 nt
Organism: Chelonoidis abingdonii (Abingdon island giant tortoise)
Lineage: Eukaryota; Metazoa; Chordata; Testudines; Testudinidae
Source: Ensembl
UUGAAAGCUCUGGAGACUGAAAUCCCAUAAUUAUCCACAACCUAGGAUCAAGCUCCAUCAACAGUGCAAGCUUCCUCCAUGCUGUUGAGGCAGUGCACUUAAACCCAGCCUUGGAGGGACCACUUCAAUGGGUAAGAGGAGAAUGCAUUCUCCAUGUGCCAUUCAGUCCUUUGCCAAG